CAAUCUACAGAGUGGAUCCUCUUCAAAAGCAAAUCCAGACUCUUCUAAUCCCACCAGUUCAUCAGGAUCCAGGAGUGUCAGCUUAAGAUUCAUGUGCUGACAUUCAGGGUCAGGAGGUCAGAGCUCCCUGAGGGAUUUCCAGACAAAGAUGGAGCUCCUUCAUCUGUGUGUCAUUAGCUCAGUCUUCACAAAGCAGCAAACAGCGGUCUUCUCUGCUGCAUGAAUCGCUGCCACGGUAGAAGCAGCAGCAGAGUGGACGUCUUCACUGAGAGCCGUGCUCUCCUGUGGCAGCUGCUCUUCGAUGGUCUUCGAUGAGCUGAUGGUUGUGAGAAGGACUGAAGAAGAGGUCGUGAUCCUCCUGAAAGAAAUGAGGCAGCACUGGACGUCUGACAGGCAGAGGGAGCU
This is a long non-coding RNA of Archocentrus centrarchus (flier cichlid), 405 nucleotides long. RefSeq lists it as uncharacterized. Lineage: Eukaryota; Metazoa; Chordata; Actinopteri; Cichliformes; Cichlidae. The transcript is spliced from 4 exons. The record is from RefSeq and is a predicted model, not a curated record.